AGUGAACGCUGGCGGUAGGCCUAACACAUGCAAGUCGAACGGCAGCACAGUAAGAGCUUGCUCUUACGGGUGGCGAGUGGCGGACGGGUGAGGAAUACAUCGGAAUCUACUUUUUCGUGGGGGAUAACGUAGGGAAACUUACGCUAAUACCGCAUACGACCUACGGUUGAAAGCAGGGGAUCUUCGGACCUUGCGCGAUUGAGUGAGCCGAUGUCGGAUUAUCUAGUUGGCGGGGUAAAGGCCCACCAAGGCGACGAUCCGUAGCUGGUCUGAGAGGAUGAUCAGCCACACUGGAACUGAGACACGGUCCAUACUCCUACGGGAGGCAGCAGUGGGGAAUAUUGGACAAUGGGCGCAAGCCUGAUCCAGCCAUACCGCGUGGGUGAAGAAGGCCUUCGGGUUGUAAAGCCCUUUUGUUGGGAAAGAAAAGCAGCAGGUUAAUACCCCGCUGUUCUGACGGUACCCAAAGAAUAAGCACCGGCUAACUUCGUG
This 492-nucleotide ribosomal RNA is filed under the name uncultured bacterium. RNAcentral describes it as "partial 16S ribosomal RNA". It matches the Rfam family "Bacterial small subunit ribosomal RNA", at positions 29 to 507 of the family's 1533-position model. The record is from RNAcentral.